UUUCAGUCGUAUUCCUGAGCGUACAGUAAAAUUUUGAAGUCCUUAAUGGGAUGGUACCAGGUGGUUUGGGGGGUCGGAAUGAAAUCGUAGGAUAUAGUUUGGUUCUUGAAUGUAACGUUUUCAAAUAAAUACACUACGUUAGGGAAUACGACUGAAAUUGGGGACGCCGCGAAUGCGGUCUAAUAGCAAUUUGGUUUUGACUUGAGGGAGUGGUUUCGCGAACCAGGCAGGGAUGCUAAGUUACUCUCUGCUGCGAAUUGCUGGAGGCUAGUUUCUUCAUUGACAGUAUCCGAAGUUUCAAAGUCCAGAGGUCUUGAGAUUAGCAAAUGUCCUGAGUCUGUGAAUCGACGAGAGUAUUAUCACAAACUGCUGUGAAAGCUGGAGCUGAUGACAUCACUGUUGCCAUGGCGACAGGGCUCCGACAGACCGCUGAAGUUGCGCACCCAGGGCCAUUGUAGGCUGUUAUAGCAGAUCUGUGGAAGAGAUCUUAUCAAAACAAGGAAAAACAAGGGGUUAAUCUUACUCUCUUUCCAGCUGGACAAAAUUUUCUCAGAAUCUACAAAGACUCCUUGGAAAGAGAAACAAUUUGCUCCUGAAAUAAAGUUGCAGCCCUCCACAGAGAGACAGCAGUGAAUCAGGAACUAAAAGGACGGCCGUCCCCA
Acanthaster planci (crown-of-thorns starfish) is the source of this 662-nucleotide long non-coding RNA. RefSeq lists it as uncharacterized. NCBI's taxonomy places the organism in Eukaryota, Metazoa, Echinodermata, Asteroidea, Valvatida, Acanthasteridae. The record is from RefSeq and is a predicted model, not a curated record.